CCCUUAGACGUUCUGGGCCGCACGCGCGCUACACUGACACAGGCAACGAGCUUUCCUUUACCGAAAGGUAUGGGUAAUCUUUUGAAACUGUGUCGUGCUGGGGAUAGAUCCUUGCAAUUUUUGAUCUUAAACGAGGAAUUCCUAGUAAGCGCGAGUCAUCAACUCGCGUUGAUUACGUCCCUGCCCUUUGUACACACCGCCCGUCGCUACUACCGAUUGAAUGGCUUAGUGAGGCCUUCGGAUCCGCGACUCGUUUGUGGAGAAGUUGGACAAACUCAGUCAUUUAGAGGAAGUAAAAGUCGUAACA
RNAcentral lists this ribosomal RNA (307 nucleotides) under uncultured eukaryote. RNAcentral describes it as "partial 18S ribosomal RNA". It matches the Rfam family "Eukaryotic small subunit ribosomal RNA", at positions 1470 to 1796 of the family's 1831-position model. The record is from RNAcentral.